UUAGGAAUUUUGCGCAAUGGGGGAAACCCUGACGCAGCAACGCCGCGUGGAGGAUGAAGGCUUUCGGGUUGUAAACUCCUUUCGACAGGGAAAAAACAAAUGAUGGUACCUGGAGAAGAAGCACCGGCUAACUACGUGCCAGCAGCCGCGGUAAUACGUAGGGUGCAAGCGUUACUCGGAAUUAUUGGGCGUAAAGCGCGUGUAGGUGGUCAUGUAAGUCUGAUGUGAAAUCCCUGGACUCAAUUCAGGAACUGCAUUGGAUACUGCAUGGCUAGAGUAUGGGAGAGGUAGGCGGAAUUCCUGGUGUAGAGGUGAAAUUCGUAGAUAUCAGGAGGAACAACAGUGGCGAAGGCGGCUUACUGGACCAUAACUGACACUGAGACGCGACAGUGUGGGGAGCAAACAGG
Molecule: ribosomal RNA, 407 nt
Filed under: uncultured bacterium
Lineage: Bacteria
Description: bacterial SSU rRNA
Rfam family: Bacterial small subunit ribosomal RNA
Source: RNAcentral